UUUGAUCCUGGCUCAGGACGAACGCUGGCGGCGUGCCUAAUACAUGCAAGUCGAGCGAACCACUUCGGUGGUUAGCGGCGGACGGGUGAGUAACACGUGGGCAACCUGCCUGUAAGACUGGGAUAACUUCGGGAAACCGGAGCUAAUACCGGAUAAUCCUUUUYCUCUCAUGAGGAAAAGCUGAAAGUCGGUUUCGGCUGWCACUUACAGAUGGGCCCGCGGCGCAUUAGCUAGUUGGUGAGGUAACGGCUCACCAAGGCGACGAUGCGUAGCCGACCUGAGAGGGUGAUCGGCCACACUGGGACUGAGACACGGCCCAGACUCCUACGGGAGGCAGCAGUAGGGAAUCUUCCACAAUGGACGAAAGUCUGAUGGAGCAACGCCGCGUGAGCGAUGAAGGCCUUCGGGUCGUAAAGCUCUGUUGUUAGGGAAGAACAAGUACCGGAGUAACUGCC
This 455-nucleotide ribosomal RNA is filed under the name Bacillus sp. R-32717. RNAcentral's name for it is "bacterial SSU rRNA". It matches the Rfam family "Bacterial small subunit ribosomal RNA", at positions 12 to 468 of the family's 1533-position model. Lineage: Bacteria; Bacillati; Bacillota; Bacilli; Caryophanales; Bacillaceae. The record is from RNAcentral.